GGGGUGUUUACCAGGGCACAUAAUUUUACCAGGGGGUGUUUACUCAAGGGCACUCAAACACUGAGCCACAUCCCCAGUCCUAUUUUGUAUUUUAUUUAGAGACAGGGUCUCACUGAGUUGCUUAGCGCCUCCCUGUUGCUGUGGCUGGCUUUGAACUCAUGAUCCUCCUGCCUCAGCCUCCCAAGCCACUGGGAUUACAGGCAAGUACCACCACACCUGUCUCUUGUCUAGUUUUGUUAUCAGGGUAACAGUUGCUGUAUAAAAAUGAGCUGGGGUUCUCUUUUUAUAAAUCUUAUUGAAUCUGUAAUUAUUCUUUUUUCCUAGUAUUACAUGC
Molecule: long non-coding RNA, 334 nt
Filed under: Marmota monax (woodchuck)
Lineage: Eukaryota; Metazoa; Chordata; Mammalia; Rodentia; Sciuridae
Source: RNAcentral